CAGGCCUAACACAUGCAAGUCGAGCGAGGUCUUCGGACCUAGCGGCGGACGGGUGAGUAACGCGUGGGAACGUGCCCUUCCCUGCCGGAUAGUCCCUGGAAACGGGGUUUAAUACGGCAUACGCCCUUCGGGGGAAAGAAUUUCGGGGAAGGAUCGGCCCGCGUCUGAUUAGGUAGUUGGUGGGGUAAUGGCCUACCAAGCCGACGAUCAGUAGCUGGUUUUAGAGGAUGAUCAGCCACACUGGGACUGAGACACGGCCCAGACUCCUACGGGAGGCAGCAGUGGGGAAUCUUAGACAAUGGGCGCAAGCCUGAUCUAGCCAUGCCGCGUGUGUGAUGAAGGCCUUAGGGUCGUAAAGCACUUUCGCCAGGGAUGAUAAUGACAGUACCUGGUAAAGAAACCCCGGCUAACUCCGUGCCAGCAGCCGCGGUAAUACGGAGGGGGUUAGCGUUGUUCGGAAUUACUGGGCGUAAAGCGCGCGUAGGCGGACUGGAAAGUUGGGGGUGAAAUCUCGGGGCUCAACCUCGGAACUGCCUUCAAAACUAUCAGUCUAGAGUUCGAGAGAGGUGAGUGGAACUCCGAGUGUAGAGGUGAAAUUCGUAGAUAUUCGGAAGAACACCAGUGGCGAAGGCGGCUCACUGGCUCGAUA
RNAcentral lists this ribosomal RNA (649 nucleotides) under uncultured bacterium. RNAcentral's name for it is "bacterial SSU rRNA". It matches the Rfam family "Bacterial small subunit ribosomal RNA", at positions 43 to 739 of the family's 1533-position model. The record is from RNAcentral.